GUGAGGAAUAUUGGUCAAUGGGCGGGAGCCUGAACCAGCCAAGUCGCGUGAAGGAAGAAGGAUCUAUGGUUCGUAAACUUCUUUUGCAGGGGAAUAAAGUGCAGGACGUGUCCUGUUUUGUAUGUACCCUGAGAAUAAGGAUCGGCUAACUCCGUGCCAGCAGCCGCGGUAAUACGGAGGAUCCGAGCGUUAUCCGGAUUUAUUUGGUUUAAAGGGUGCGUAGGGGGUUUGAUAAGUCAGCGGUGAAAGAUUGCAGCUUAACUGAAAAUUUGCCGCUUAACGGUAAGAUGGCCGUUGAAACUGUCGGUCUUGAGUGCAAAUGAGGUAGGCGGAAUGUGUUGUGUAGCGGUGAAAUGCUUAGAUAUAACACAGAACUCCGAUUGCGAAGGCAGCUUACUGGGAUGCAACUGACACUGAUGCACGAAAGCGUGGGUAUCAAACAGGAUUAGAAACCCGUGUAGUCC
Molecule: ribosomal RNA, 464 nt
Filed under: uncultured bacterium
Lineage: Bacteria
Description: partial 16S ribosomal RNA
Rfam family: Bacterial small subunit ribosomal RNA
Source: RNAcentral